UUUGGGCAAGAAGACCCUAUGAAUUUUUAAUAAAAAGUUAUAUUGAAAUAUGAAACUUUUUAUUUUAAUUGGGGCGAUUUAACUAAAUAUUAAAAACUUUUUAAAAAAAAAAUAUGAACCGUUAUUAACGGACACUUGGAAAAAAUACUCUAGGGAUAACAGCGUAAUAAUUUUUGAUAGUUCUUAUAGACAAAAUAGUUUGCGACCUCGAUGUUGGAUUAGGAUAUUUUUUUAAUGAAGAAGUUAAAAAAAAAAGUUUGUUCAACUUUUAAUGUCCUACUUGAUCUGAGUUCAAACCGGA
Molecule: ribosomal RNA, 301 nt
Filed under: Amblyomma americanum (Lone Star tick)
Lineage: Eukaryota; Metazoa; Arthropoda; Arachnida; Ixodida; Ixodidae
Description: partial 16S ribosomal RNA
Rfam family: Bacterial large subunit ribosomal RNA
Source: RNAcentral